Long non-coding RNA from Empidonax traillii (willow flycatcher), 677 nucleotides. RefSeq lists it as uncharacterized. The record is from RefSeq and is a predicted model, not a curated record. Lineage: Eukaryota; Metazoa; Chordata; Aves; Passeriformes; Tyrannidae. The transcript has 3 exons.
GGGACUCCGUCGGAGCGCUCGGAUACAGGAUGUGGUCUCACGUACAUUAACCGUCUCUCAGCUGCGGAUUUGCAACUGAUAGCGGCCGCUUUCCCGGCGGAUUUAAAGAGGCUCUGGCCAGUCGCGGUAGACCGUCUGACAGGGCUAACGCCCCACAGAGAGGACCGGCCCUCGCGGCGGAACCGGCCGCAGAGCCCGCUCUCACCGCUUCACCUCCCGCCAGGAGCAGAACACUCAAACUGCAUCAAAGAAGAACUCUGGAGCCUGUGCACGAAAUUAACGAGUCUUCCCCCUCCCACCCAAUACUUAUGUUCAUCAAAGUCAGCGGGACAGAAGUGCUGCAGUACCUCAGUUUUACAGAUACACAGUCAGCCAUGUAAGAUGCUACAGAGAAGACUGACCUGAGCAUGAGGAGACCUUCUUGAAUGACCUCAUCGUCUUCUGAGGAACCUAAAAUCAGAGAGCUGGAGUCAGUACUGUGUACACUGUACCAGAGUACCAUAUUUAAUUACCUCUUCUCCAGUUUAACAGCUCAUUAGGAAUGCCAGGGCAUUGACUCUAUGAAGUGACCUAUAAACUUACUCUAUGAGACUUACCUAGCUCAUCAAAACCACAGUGAGAUAGCCAAGGCAUAAGAUAAAAAAAUCAGCCACUGUUUUUUUUUUUUCCUAGCACCA